AAAAACAUAACCAGAUGUCAAUAUAUUUGGCGUUUUYUGCUCAAUGACGUAAUUAAAUAGCCGCAGUACCUUGACUGUGCAAAGGUAGCAUAAUCAGUUGGCUCAUAAUUGGAGUCUGGAAUGAAAGGAUGCACGGGAAAUUACUGUAUCAAGUGUUUUUAAUGAAAUUGGGUUUCAAGUGCAAAUGCUUGUAAUUAAUUGUUAGACGAGAAGACCCUAGAAAUUUGUAUAUUCGUUUGGUUGGGGCAACAUAGUAGGAGGUAACCUACAAUAGCGACAAGAAAUAAAUUAGUAAGAAUAAAUUACUCUAGGGAUAACAGCAUAAUUUAUAAAAGUUUGUGACCUCGAUGUUGGAUUUGGGACUUAUAGUUUAGAAGACUCUUAAUACUGCUCUGUUCGAGCAUAACAC
This 409-nucleotide ribosomal RNA is filed under the name Rhagada sp. Gibbings MSJ-2012. RNAcentral's name for it is "partial 16S ribosomal RNA". It matches the Rfam family "Bacterial large subunit ribosomal RNA", at positions 1809 to 2593 of the family's 2925-position model. Lineage: Eukaryota; Metazoa; Mollusca; Gastropoda; Stylommatophora; Camaenidae. The record is from RNAcentral.